GAUGAACGCUGGCGGCGUGCCUAAUACAUGCAAGUCGAGCGAACGGACGAGAAGCUUGCUUCUCUGAUGUUAGCGGCGGACGGGUGAGUAACACGUGGAUAACCUACCUAUAAGACUGGGAUAACUUCGGGAAACCGGAGCUAAUACCGGAUAAUAUUUUGAACCGCAUGGUUCAAAAGUGAAAGACGGUCUUGCUGUCACCUAUAGAUGGAUCCGCGCUGCAUUAGCUAGCUGGUAAGGUAACGGCUUACCAAGGCAACGAUGCAUAGCCGACCUGAGAGGGUGAUCGGCCACACUGGAACUGAGACACGGUCCAGACUCCUACGGGAGGCAGCAGUAGGGAAUCUUCCGCAAAGGGCGAAAGCCUGACGGAGCAACGCCGCGUGAGUGAUGAAGGUCUUCGGAUCGUAAAACUCUGUUAUUAGGGAAGAACAUAUGUGUAAGUAACUGUGCACAUCUUGACGGUACCUAAUCAGAAAGCCACGGCUAACUACGUG
This 497-nucleotide ribosomal RNA is filed under the name uncultured bacterium. Its description in RNAcentral is "partial 16S ribosomal RNA". It matches the Rfam family "Bacterial small subunit ribosomal RNA", at positions 28 to 507 of the family's 1533-position model. The record is from RNAcentral.